This 23-nucleotide non-coding RNA is filed under the name Arabidopsis thaliana (thale cress). The record is from RNAcentral. Lineage: Eukaryota; Viridiplantae; Streptophyta; Magnoliopsida; Brassicales; Brassicaceae.
CAAGGGGUUAGUCAAGCCGCCUG